Molecule: ribosomal RNA, 207 nt
Filed under: uncultured bacterium
Lineage: Bacteria
Description: partial 16S ribosomal RNA
Rfam family: Bacterial small subunit ribosomal RNA
Source: RNAcentral
CGCGUAGGCGGUGAGAUGUGAGAUAUGUGAAAGCCCUGGGCUUAACCUAGGAAGUGCAUAUCAGACUAUCUGACUGGAGUAUAAGAGAGGGUGGCGGAAUUUCCGGUGUAGCGGUGAAAUGCGUAGAGAUCGGAAGGAACGUCAAUGGCGAAGGCAGCCACCUGGCUUAAUACUGACGCUGAGGCGCGAAAGCGUGGGGAGCGAACA